RNAcentral lists this ribosomal RNA (253 nucleotides) under uncultured bacterium. RNAcentral's name for it is "partial 16S ribosomal RNA". It matches the Rfam family "Bacterial small subunit ribosomal RNA", at positions 524 to 776 of the family's 1533-position model. The record is from RNAcentral.
UACGAAGGGGGCUAGCGUUGCUCGGAAUCACUGGGCGUAAAGGGUGCGUAGGCGGGUCUUUAAGUCAGAGGUGAAAUCCUGGAGCUCAACUCCAGAACUGCCCUUGAUACUGGAAAGCUUGAGUUCGGGAGAGGUGAGUGGAACUGCGAGUGUAGAGGUGAAAUUCGUAGAUAUUCGCAAGAACACCAGUGGCGAAGGCGGCUCACUGGCCCGAUACUGACGCUGAGGUGCGAAAGCGUGGGGAGCAAACAGG